Asparagus officinalis (garden asparagus) is the source of this 223-nucleotide long non-coding RNA. RefSeq lists it as uncharacterized. The transcript is spliced from 3 exons. NCBI's taxonomy places the organism in Eukaryota, Viridiplantae, Streptophyta, Magnoliopsida, Asparagales, Asparagaceae. The record is from RefSeq and is a predicted model, not a curated record.
GUUUACUCAGGAUAUUCCGAUUGAUCGAGGGGCUGAGCCAGAAGAGGAAGGGGAAAUCGUGCCCGAGCCUUCUUCUCCGGGUUUAAUGGAUGUUGAUGAGUCCAGCUUCACUCAACAGGUGCAAAAAGCGAUGAGUGAAGAACCCCUCAAUGUGGACACUGCCCCUCCUCCGGCCACUACAUCGACCUCACCAACUGCCGACACAGUUAAACUAAAGGAGGUG